CCUACGGGAGGCAGCAGUGGGGAAUAUUGGGCAAUGGGCGCAAGCCUGACCCAGCAACGCCGCGUGAAGGAAGAAGGCUUUCGGGUUGUAAACUUCUUUUCUCAGGGACGAAGCAAGUGACGGUACCUGAGGAAUAAGCCACGGCUAACUACGUGCAAGGAGCCGCGGUAAUACGGAGGUGGCAAGGGUUAUCCGGAUUUACUGGGUGUAAAGGGCGUGUAGGCGGGACCGCAAGUCAGAUGUGAAAACCAUGGGCUCAACCUGUGGCCUGCAUUUGAAACUGUAGUUCUUGAGUACUGUGGAGGCAGACGGAAUGCCUGGUGUAGCGGUGAAAUGCGUAGAUAUUAGGAGGAACACCAGUGGCGAAGGCGGUCUGCUGGACAGCAACUGACGCUGAGGCGCGAAAGCGUGGGGAGCGAACAGGAUUAGAUACCCGGGUAGUC
RNAcentral lists this ribosomal RNA (443 nucleotides) under uncultured bacterium. Its description in RNAcentral is "partial 16S ribosomal RNA". It matches the Rfam family "Bacterial small subunit ribosomal RNA", at positions 338 to 795 of the family's 1533-position model. The record is from RNAcentral.